CCCUACGGGACGCAGCAGUCGGGAAUAUUGCGCACUGGAGGAAACUCUGACGCAGUGACGCCGCGUGCAGGAAGAAGGUUUUCGGAUUGUAAACUGCUUUCGACAGGGAAGAAACAAGACAGUACCUGUAGAAUAAGCUCCGGCUAACUACGUGCCAGCAGCCGCGGUAAUACGUAGGGAGCAAGCGUUAUCCGGAUUUACUGGGUGUAAAGGGCGCGUAGGCGGGAUGGCAAGUCAGAUGUGAAAUCCAGGGGCUCAACCCCUGAACUGCAUUUGAAACUGUCGUUCUUGAGUACUGGAGAGGU
RNAcentral lists this ribosomal RNA (305 nucleotides) under uncultured bacterium. RNAcentral's name for it is "bacterial SSU rRNA". It matches the Rfam family "Bacterial small subunit ribosomal RNA", at positions 337 to 658 of the family's 1533-position model. The record is from RNAcentral.